GAAAUCAAACUUACUGCGUUAAUGUUAUUUUUAUCCUUUAAUCUCACCAGAGGAAAAGUGAAUGUGAAUCUAAGCACAGACUUUAGACCCGCACUGAUGUGUUUUAAGUGGAGGUUAAGUGGUUUAAAUCAUCUUAUAAUGUACAACUGUGCUGUAGUGAUGUGCCAUGCACAAUGAAAACACACAAACAAAAGAAGUAAUUGUAUACAACUCAAAGGUUGCCUGGUGUUAAGAUUCAUGGUGUGGUUUUAGUUAGCCUGUUGGAUGGACUGCAGUGCAAUCUGCUGGGAUCUACUCGAUCUGUUCCUGCCGUGAUCUGCUGGGGGCCGUGCCCAUCUUCUUUCUUCUUCUCCUCCCAUAUUUUGUUAACUAAUAAACGGGGAUCCCUGAGAUGGUGCCUGGGGGUGAACAGCUUUGCCCUGUGAUGGGGGCUUGCCUGCCAGCCUUUCCUGCAUUGCUCCAGAGGUUUCCUCCCAACAUUUGUCAGGGGAUGUUGAGAAAUUAAAUGGGAAAACUGCCAACAUUUGGAGAGGCUCUAAUGAAGAGAGUGCUGAUGCUGAAACGGCUCGGUUUACAUAAAAACCUCAUCUUCCUUAACCACCUUUCAUCCCAGUAUUUGCUAGUGAUGUUUGUAUAUGCCCACAACUAGGAUUUUGUAUUCCCAGAGCUGUGCAUUUGGAAGAGAUGGCCGAGACUACAACUGACAUGCUGAUACAACGGCCGGAAGAAAGAGCAGAUGAGCACAGCCCAGAGAAAGUCAACAUGCAAAACAGAAGUACUGGAGUAACCUUUGAAACAAAGGACUUCAAAGUGACAGCAGGCUGCGUAUCUGGCACUAGCGAAACAAGUGGAACAUCCAGUGAUGGAGAUGAUGAAGAUGACCAAGAUGAAACAUACUUUUCUGUUUCUCUGUCUCCCACUGGAAUCAGAACCAGCAGGAAGAGGCCAAAGAAAAAGAGUAGGCAGUCACCAGCUCAGAAGAAAAUGAAAACAGUUGAUAUGGAAGAAGUGAUGUUGGUACCAGAAAAGGUAGAGGACAGAGAAGCAGCAGUACAGGAAAAGGGGGAGAACAGAGCAGAAAAAGCACAGCAAGCAACUGCUCAGUGUUCAGUAUCUGAAACUGUCAAGUUUGUGGUCCUUGCACUCUCUGUGUUUCUGAUCUUCGUGCAUCUGACUAUGAUGGUAAUACUAACAGUCUGCUCGUGA
RNAcentral lists this long non-coding RNA (1206 nucleotides) under Anas platyrhynchos platyrhynchos (common mallard). Its description in RNAcentral is "lncRNA (ENSAPLG00000005261.2)". Lineage: Eukaryota; Metazoa; Chordata; Aves; Anseriformes; Anatidae. The record is from RNAcentral.